This 34293-nucleotide long non-coding RNA is filed under the name Ananas comosus (pineapple). RNAcentral's name for it is "long non-coding RNA (ACOM_LNC009784)". The record is from RNAcentral. Lineage: Eukaryota; Viridiplantae; Streptophyta; Magnoliopsida; Poales; Bromeliaceae.
CCUUCCCUCCUCCUAAACACCUCUCCGUCUCCUCCCUCUCAAAUUUUUUGAGUCCAUUCCAUACGCCCCUUCCACUCCUCUCUCUCAAACUCUCUUUUUUUUUUUUUCCCACCCGCCCCUCCGCCUUCUCUUCUCUGUCUCAUCCUUCUCGAUCCAGAAAUAACGCAUAGCGUGUAACGACCCAGUCCACUAGCAACAAUAACUCGUUGGGCCCAACAACCGGCCCAAAAUGCUUAAGCCCAGUUAUUAUUACUAGUGUCUAAGUCUCUUAUAAACCCAAUGACAACCCCAACUCGUUGGGCCCAACCACCGGCCCAAAAUGCUUAAGCCCAGUUAUUAUUACUAGUGUCUAAGUCUCUUAUAAACCCAAUGAUAAUCCCUUUCCCAUUCAAUGUGGGACUAUUGGGGUGUCACAGACUCCCCCCGUUAAGGCCCUGACGUCCUCGUCAGUCCAAUCACACACAGAGCCCAAGAUCACCAGGCGAUGUGAGACUCGUCUCGCUAGCCCGUCAUCCAGACCCUGGCUCAGUCGAGACUCGCCACACAUGUCCAGCUGGUGAACCGGCUCUGAUACCAAAUGUAACGACCCAGCCCACUAGCAACAAUAACUCGUUGGGCCCAACAACCGGCCCAAAAUACUUAAGCCUAAUUAUUAUUACUAGUGUCUAAGUCUCUUAUAAACCCAAUGACAAUCCCUUUCCCAUCUGAUGUGGGACUAUUGGGGUGUCACAUAGCGUUCAGUGGUGGUGGUAGUAGCGGGUUAGAGAACGAGGUGGCGAUGGAAGUGAGCAGCAGCGGCGUGCAGUUCGACUACCGCAGAUAUCAAAGAAGAGCUUACGGUCUCCGUGGCGGGGAUGUGGUUCCUUCUCAAUGGUAUAGUACCUUCUUCUUCUUCUUUUUUUUGUCUUAGUGUUGCUUGAUUUUAUGCCGUGAGUAAUUUAUUUAGUAUUAAUAUUUUAUUUUUUAAGAGAGUUUUUUCUGAACUAUUUUGGAUUCAAUUCGUACCCUUUUUUACCUUUGUUUUUUGCCUUUUUCUUGUUUUCUGUUAGAUUUAAUUUUGUAGAGUAAAUUAUAUGGAUAAGUCCCUACAUUAUUUGGAAAUUACAACAAAUGUGCCAUUACCAACAAGAUCAACUGCCUUCUGAUAAGGUUUUAGAAACUUCAUCGAAAUCUAAAAAUUCAAUAAUGUAUCCAAAAUUUUGAAAAAAUAAUUAUCAAAACGUAGUUAUAUAUUGAUGUUUCUUCUUUAUAUUUUUAUUUGUUUAUUUAAUUCGCAAAUUUUAAUAUGAUAAUUUCGUCUUUGUUUCUUUAUGUAAUUUACAAAUUUUUGGUAUGAUAAUUUCUAUCCGCCGCAUCACGCGGGUCUCUACACUAGUAAUUUUAUUAAGGGUGUUCAAAUAUUCUGUUAUUGUCAUACCUUUUUUCAUGUAAACCCAUAUAGCUUUUGCUUUAGGUACAACACAUUCAAGAGGCUUUUUGUCAAGUACAGUUUCUUUAUUUUGUUGUACAUGCCGACAGUAGUUUCUUCGUCCAUUACGUUGUACUCACCGCGUCUACCAAGCACAAUAUUAUUGUAUUCAUAGCCCGCAGAUUAAUAUCCUCUCGAUUUUUGUUGCUUAUCGAUGAUGUCUUAUUCAAUAUUCCAUUAACGCUUUUAUGAAGGCCCUAUUGAAUCAGAAUGGCUUUCACUCUUUUUUGCAGGAGACCGAACUUUCCUUUUCCGUUAAAUUUCUCAACCUCGAACUUGAAAGAUGAGACCUUGAACAUCUUUGCUGUAGCGUGAACAUUAGGCUCUAAUACCACUUGUUAGAAAUUUGAUGGAUCGUCCGUCAUGUGGUACCAAUAUAGAUGCACGAAAAUAGAGUAAACUAAAUGGUAAAAGAAAUAAAUAAAGAAAGAAGAGACCGAGAUUUACGUAGUUCGACAAUUGCCAAUGUCCAUGGAAAAAUCGAGCUCUAUGUGAAGAAAAAAAAGUAGACUUACACCUGAUAUCUUCUUUAAACUAAAAACUAAGAGCUUUAUGAUGAAACCCACUCUUCUCUUAUUUCAAUAAAAAAUUCCAAAGAAAUAACUAGAAAGAGCUUUUUGCAAAACCUUAAUUAGCGAAGACCGAUUAGAGAAGAAUAGAAUCUUUGCCCAAAGUCCUUUAUUUUGUUGUUUCGAAAGAUAUGGUUGAGAAUCCCUGCUCCGCUGCCAACUUCAAACUUGGUGCUGCAUGCGAUCUAUCCGUACACUUUUUCUCCGUCCCGUUAUAUAGGCCUCGAGACCGAGCCAAUCCUCACCUUAAUUUUGCCAUUUCGGCGACGUAUGCUAAUUGAAUUAGCCCCGCGCAUAGUUAAGCCUCAAUGCAUGCACAAUAUAUAUAUAUAUAUAUAUAUAUAUAUAUAUAUAAUAUAUAUAUAUAUAUAUAUAUAUAUAUAUAUAUAUAAUAUAUAUAUAUAUAUAUAUAUAUAUAGAUUGAGAUAGAAUACUUCUAAAAGCAUCAAGAGAAGGUGGCUUGUGAGUUUUUAACCCUUGGAUAGAGAAAUGUAGGGUUGGGAUGAUGGUGGUAGGUGGUGGUAGGUGGAAUAGUGUCUGAUACAAGGACUAUUAGUAAUCAAGGAGUAGAUCCAAGGGCUAAAAACUUAAUAGCACCAAAGGGGUGAUACUUGUAAAAAUAUUCUAACUCAAUUUUAUAUAUAUAUAUAUAUAGGUUUAGAGCCGUGGGACCUGCACCAAGUCAAACUUGACCUGUAAUAAAUUGCACCAAGUCAAACUUGACCUGUAAUAAAUGGCUUGGAAACCAAGUCAUGUCCAAUAGGAAUCAACUUUAACUUUUUUUUGUAGAUUCCUAUAAACCCGAUGCGAUGCAUGCUCCCCUUUUGUGAACCAAGACACUUUUUGAACUAAGUAAAUAAUAAUUUUCAUCCAAUCUUUAAUUUAAUCACGAAAGACGGCUCAUCUUAAGAGUCUUAUUAAAACAAAAAGAUGUAUUUCCAUAAAACGUAAAGUUGGAGAUUUCAAACUAGUCAAGGAUUUUGAAUGAAUUUUUUAGUGAGAGUUAACAAGAAUUGAAAAAACUAAUUUUAUGGUGUGGAAAAUUAUUUAACAAUGCCUUCUAGAAUUCUUAAAUCUAUGGAUGUACUGAAGAAUAUCAUGAUAGUAUAAUUAAAGAAAGAAGAGUUUCGAAAAAUAAAAAAGACAAAAAAAGAGAAAGAAAAAGUUAAGGAAUGUUUAUCAUGCAUUACUUAGCGGUUUAUGCAAUAUUGUCUAUGUAGCAUUGUCUAUUGUAAGUUCCAAGAGUGAAGACAACAAAAGCUUGGAGGACUUAAAAAAGGCUAGAGGACAAGUCUUUCAGGAAGAACUUGUACUCUGAGUGGCACCAACGAAGGUAAUAUCAUAAAAUUCAUAUUGCGAAGCCAAACUUUGAGGCACUGCAUGAAGCUGGUGUAUAAAGACUUUGUAGACCCGCCAUGACCUAGUCAGAAGCUAGGAAGAUAUGAGGUAAUGAACUGAUAUUUUGUGCCUUCAGAUUCAACCAGUGAAUUGAGCUCAAAUUUUUAGCUUAUUCAAGGAAGAAUGAUUGUGUGGAAAUGCCUCUGAUUUCUGUGACUGGCUACUUGAUUUGAGUUCUCAUGGAAUGAAGAUCUCAUGGUUACAAUAUAUCAACACAGUCUCCACCCUAAUAUUAUAGCAGGGUUGGUAUUGAGUCACCUGUUUGUUUGGUACCCACCAACUUGAGGAGAACGAGAAUGCACAACAAUCAUGUCAAUCUACAGAACCGUACUGAACUCUUGAAACCCUAUCUAACCAUAAAUUUGUUAGAUUAGACUUGAGCUUAGUGAUCUGCUGUGAGCAUGCGUCUUCCUGCAAAGCCUCAAGCACCAAAGUCACAAAUGGCAGAAAAAUGCAAAAAGAGUACAACAUCUAGCCAUUCUUCUAUGGAGAUCUCCUUCAAUACAUUAACUGCAGUCACUUCACUAUUAUUAAGAGAGUCUGGAUGUUGGAGAUAACAUAUCUUCCUUCCUCUUUGCUUCCACCACAUUUUAUUCAAUCUGAAUCCUGAUCUCUUGCCUCUAGCUUGCAUCAGAUAACUAUUAUUAUCACUCUCUGCAAAUUCACCAAACUUCUCCUAUCAUUAUAAUUUCAUCGCAAACUAAAGGCUUAACAACCUUAAAGAAACCCAGUGAAAUAGAUUCUUACAUCAAGUAAAAAAUAUUUCUUUUAUGUAUAACUGCAUGCUUUUAAUUGUUCAUUUUUAUUGAAAGAGAUUGGUAUGAAUCAUGGCAUGCUUCGUUUGCUCUAGUAAACAAGAAGUAAUGUGCUUAGUUGUUUACAAUGUUUUUGAAAAUUGUGCUCUUGACAACAAAAUAGAGGCAGAGAAUCUGUCUGAAGAGAAACAACAGACAGGAGGGUUGUAGUAGGAAAUUUAAAGAAAUGUAAGAUGAUUUGCAUGAAUUUGAUGAUGCAUAUAUUAGUUCUAGAUGUGUGAAUAAUAUACUUAAAUUUAUUUAUUCUUCACUAGCGUAAUGCUUAAAUGGUUUUUCUCAAAUUCUGUUCUUCUAGUAGCGUAAAGCAAGAAAAAACUGUAUUUACCCCAUACUCCUUGGCUUGUAUUACUUUUGGCUACUUGAUUUUGUUCAGGGAUACAAAGAUGCACUUGCAGAAAUCUAGUCACUAAGAUUGAGCUACAGUUCGGAAAAUAGGAGAUGUGAAGUUCUUGAAACCACAUAUAAUGGUCUUAAAAUAGGUCAGCAAUUGUACAGAUUCGGUUAAAAUGUCUGUAUAUUCUUUACUUCCCUACCUUGUAGAAAAUUCAAGGCUUUUCUGGAACUAGGGUAUAAAUUUUUUGCACUUGUUCCUUUCUUAGCACAAAGCGGAUGGUCCUUGCAGUUUUUACUUUGUACCCAAAAUUUUGUCCAAACACAAUCUUGGAGGGUUCAUGAUAGAACUAAAAAUUGGCAAUUAUCUAUGCUUCAAUAUUCAUAAGACAGGCUUGUCAAUUUUCAGAAAGUCUAUAGAUGAUCUUACUCUGGCAGAUUGUCUCACCCUUCACUUCUUUUGAAACAGUCUGCUUAAAAUAAUUGCUUCUAUCUUCUCUUUUAGGGCUAAGAAGGGGAUUUUUUUUUUUUUUUUUUUUUUUUCUAUUCCAAUGCAGACAAUGAGCGCUUGCGAAAGUUGUAUGCUGAAACCUUGUUAAAAUUUGCUAACCAGGUAAUAUUUCUUUCUUCAAAUUACAAAUGAUUGAAAGAUUAUCAACUUUUCUCCAUUGCAAGACCACUUUUGGUUGUUUAGACGAAAAAAAUUAAAGCUAAUUGUUAUUUUACCCUCUGUUACUAUUAGCUUCCUGGAUUCUUUUAGUGAUCGAAAUCCAUUAUGACGACCAAUUUGCACUUCAGAUCAACAUUUGCAAUGGAACAUCAGUUAAUCUUAUUUACAUUUCUCUUCAGAGACUACAGCUAGAUAAAAGGACAAUUUUGCUAAGUAGCAUAAAGGAUGCUGGUAAAUUUCAUAGACUAAUUGUACGUAUCAUAUCAAAAACUGUUACUAGAAGUGCACUUCGAAGUUUACUUAGAUUAGUGAAUUCAUGAACUACGAUGUUAGUAUGUUAUAGAUUUCAUAAACUAGAUUUAGUACUUACAUAAGUGAGUGAAUGAUUAAGGUAUUCAGUCUAUUUUUAAGCCAGGGAAAGAAUAAUGUGUCAAUUCUAUUGCUUCAUUAUGCCUGCACUCCUAUGAUGCAAUUUUAUGCCUCUAUUUUGAAUCAUGGUUAGAGGGUUUCUUUUUAUUGUUAACUACCAAUCUAGUCUGCUUCCUUUGUACAGAUGAAAUGUCACAUAGAAUCUCAAAGUUUAAAAGGUGAACUUGAAAAGGCAAACUGCAGAUUGCUCAAUUUGGAAGAAGUAACUUUCUUCCUCACUUCCUAUAGUUUAACUUAACCUAAAAAUUCAAGGAUGCCAAGGUGACUGUGUGCUUACAUUAUACAGGAGCAUAAGAGGACUAUAGCAAUUCUUAAGCAAGAGAAUGAAUAGAAGAUCCAUGAUAUAGCAAACCAGCUCAGGUAAUUUUUCUUUUGUUCUAGUGAGCUUGAUCAUUUUUGCUUGUCGAGUAGCUUGUUUUGAGUUUGAUGUUCUUCAAAAUCAGCUGCUCUCUUCUUCAACGAGAAGCAGAUGAAGCUACAAUAAAGCAACUCCAGCUUGAUUUAGCUGCUCGUGAAAGUCAUAUUAGCACCCUAAGUGAGAAGCUAGGCCAGGUUACUGCUGAUGUGGAUACGAAAUGUAAGGGUUUUGCUUCCUAGUUGGGAAAAUGAUAUAUUUUUUCUGAACCUUUUUAUGAUAUUAUCACAGUAAUAGAACAACAUUCUUUUUCUUAGACCAUCAAGAGAUACAGGAUUUGAAGGACUGGAUUGUGGUGGAACAGGAAGAAAAAAAUGAGUUGCACAAUAUUCAAGAGAACUAGGCUUUAAGUGCCUAUCGACAUUGGCCGUGCCUGACGUGCUGCUCCGUGCCAACAAGAUGCCGGCACAAUACGAUCUCCGUAGUAAUGACAUGGCUCAAAGCCCUAUUUUCAACCUCAAUAAAGUGCAAAAGAUUACAUAAAGAUAUAUAUUAAGAAAUUAGAAUAUAUUUAUGUCAAGGAAAAUAAAUAAUUUAUGCCAUUAUGUGUUGGCGCACAUAUUUUUUUUCUGACUGGCAUGCACCGGGACGGCAUGGCAUGCACCGUUCUUAGUGGUAAACCUACAUAUUCAGUGGGAUCAAUUGACUAAAAAAAAUAACACAUCUUCAAAAGUAGGGCCCAUCUUAUAUUUUACCCUACUUUAUUUGACUAAUUGACCUCACUUUGUUUUAACAAGUGAGUAAAGUCCAAUUCUUUGCUCUCAUGUGGCACCAACUAUAUAGUUUGCAAUGUCAUAAACUUAGAUCCAAAUAAAAAAGAAAAAUGCACCAUUAAAUUAUAAAGAAAAUAUUUUACAAUUCUUUUAAAAUAAUAGUCGGUUGAUUGAAAAAAAAAACCCUAAUCUUUCAAAAAAUUGGUUGAGACAAAGAAGUAUAUUGUAUAUCUAUAAAUUUAUUUGCUUAUGAAGUUACCAUUGAUUCUAUUAGUUGCCACAGUCUAUGGAGGAAAAAAAAAAUGCAUUUAACACUAUCACUAUUAAUGCCAUCAUGUAUCGUUUCUCAAAUAUGAAAACACGUUGGGCACAAUCUAUAACUAUACACUGAAGUCCUUCCGAGCAGCUAAGGAUGCCACGAUAGCCAUUAAGAUGUGAGCGAGUCAGAUGAUGCUACAUGUCCAAUAGAAACUUUGGAUGCGCUCAGUGCACCUUAGACCGAUCAUAAAAAAAAAUACAUAAAAGAUAAAUUUUCAUUUGUUUUCGGCCACAACCUAAGUGGAAGAUCGUUAGGGUAGUUCAAUAUAAUUAUGCAAUCCAAUCGGCUUGCAUUAGAUAGGAUGUGUAUUGGAUAUUUAGAUUGAAAGCUAUUUUUGUUUUCACCAUCAUUUGCAAAAUAAAUAGUUAACUAGUAGUUGCUUUCCUGUCAUAGAAGACUUUAUACGAGUACUUCAAGAUCUGAUUCAGUCAUAGCAUCUUCUCUGCUAAUCUGUUCUUCAUGUGGUGGACUGCUUCAUUACUAGGCCAUCAUUCUUGGAGAGUUUUCUCCUCUCUUUAAUUUCCUUUAAAUUGCUUUGAUGUUUUAAUCCUAUCAAAGGCUGUUGCAUUCUUUCUCAACAUGUCAAUAAUUCUUCAUUUGAGUAUAUCAACCCAUUGAUGCAGGCCUUUUGCUGUCUUUUUUGUGUCAUGGCAUUAGAUUAAGAUUUUCUGAAAUUUUGCUCUUGGAUUUUACUAAAUAAGACCGCCAAGAAUAAACACUCCAUUAGUUUGUUAGAAACAAGCUGCCGCUUUAGUUGUGUAUUCUUAUUAUCGGUCACGUGUUUUUUAAUUCUUUCUCAGUUUUUGUUGCGUUAUAUUCAAAUGAUACUCUUUGUAAAGUGCGUGUUUGCUUAAUCACCAUAUUUUUAUGUGAGAAGAUGGUUAUGUAGUAUAGAACCAAACAACUGUUAAUGAAAGUAUGAAAUUUUGAGUAUUUACGGAUUAUGUUUGAAUAGUUGUAGGGCAAUAUGCUUGUGACAGUGUGGAUUCAUAUAAGAGUUCAUGAUUUCGAUCCAGAAAAUUGAUGUUUUAUGUGGCAUCUCAAUCCCUCGUAGAAAGUGCAUACUAUAAAUUUUCAAUUAGUUUAGCGAUGUCUUUGUAACGACCCAGUCCACUAGCAACAAUAACUCGUUGGGCUCAAUCACUGACCCAAAAUGCUUAAGCCCAGUUAUUAUUACUAGUGUCUAAAUCUCCAUUCCUAUCAAAUGUGGGAUUAUUGGGGUGUGACAGACUCCCCCCAUUAAGGCCCUGACGUCCUCGUUAGUCCAAUCACACACACAGCCAAAGAUCACCAGGCGAUGUGAGACUUGUCUCACUAGCUUUGUCAUUAAGACAGACCUUGACAUAACCGGUUACCUUGUCAUACAGACUUCGCAUAGCCUAUCACCUUGCCUUUCAAACACUGGCUCAGCCGAGACUCGCCACACAUUUCCGGCUGGUGAUUGGCUCUGAUACCAAAUAUAACGACUCAGCCCAUUAGCAACAAUAACUCGUUGGGCCCAACCACUGGCCCAAAAUGUUUAAGCCCAGUUAUUAUUACUAGUGUCUAAGUCUCCAUUCCUAUUCGAUGUGGGAUUAUUGGGGUGUGACAGUCUUAGUCAUGCAUUAAGUGGAACUGAUCAUUCCAUAAUAAACAAAACAAAUUACUUGUCUCAGCCUACUUUUUCUCCAGACCUUUGAAAUCACUUCGAUUCCGGUAUGGAAAUGCUUUUACAUUAAUUUUGGCAUUAUAGAUGGGAUAAGAACUUACAUCAAAGUUUUUGUAAUGUGAUCGUUUUUUGGGUACAGUUUGAAUUAUCCUCAGCUUGGUUCCUUGUGAUUGACUUGCCCUAAUUUUACUGCAAAUGUCUCUUUUUUUUUUGCAGUGAAACUCAUGAAAAUUAGGCAGGCAGAGCAACUGAAAGAUUCUGUUUCUAUUCAUCAUGUCGAGACACUGAAGCAGAAGAUCAUGAAACUUCGGAAAGGGAAUGAGUCUUUGAAGAGGCGGCUACUUGCCUCUGAAUUCAGUGGUGUAGGAAACUGAUCCUGGCUCAUCAAAUUCUCUGGCGAAAUAUUUCAUUAGUCCUGAUCUUAAACUGUGCAGAGAUUCUAUAUGUGAAUAUGUAACUUGAAUGUGGAUAUUUUUCAUUGAGAGAGAGAGUGCGAGGUGAUGAAUCAUUUGCAUCUUUAGCUUCUAACUAAGAAAAUAUUGCAACUGAUAGAAAUUUCUGUGUUAUUUGAUACUUCAUGGACAUAAAUAGAAAAUCCUAGAUUUCAAGGUUAAUUGUAAUGAAAUUCUUGUACUUGCAUGGCUUGUAGUUUUUGUUCGUUCAUUUUCCUUGGUGAAACACACAUAGAAAAUAUGCUAUCAUAGUAUAACAUCAAUUGUAACACACAAACUUUAUAUCUAUUUAAUUUGGUUUUACAGUAGUAUUUUAUAUAGUCAUGCUGAUGUUACUGGUUCAACCAGUUGUUGACUUACUGGUGGAACCAGUGAACCCUUAACCCAAUAAUAUUUUUGGAUCACUAUUUAAUCCGAUUUUUAAAAUAUUAUUGCUAGGUUUACGAUCCCAUCUAAAGACUAUCCCUUUUUUUUUUUACGAAAACCCAAAAAGAAUUAUUGAUUAGAUUAGGAGUUGUAAAGAUUACAACUCUGGAUUGUAGUCUUGUAGACUUAGUAUUUCUUUACAAAUAAAAGUUAAAGAUCAAAGUAAAAAUAGGUAAGAGUUAGUGAGCAAUGAGCAAUUAAUAUUUUCUUGACUGACAGCUACUUGGUCGUAGGGUUGGUAAUUCAACUCGCUGUUCACGAGCCAGCUCGUGUUCGGCUCAAAAUGAGCUCAAAAUUGACUUGAUCGUAUAGUAAAUGAGUCGAACGCAAAUUAAAUUUUCCAACUCAUUUAAUAAAGAGUCGAACACGAGCUAGGAUCAACUCACUUUUGUUGGGCUUAGCAACAUCCCGAUAACAUUUAUUUUAUAUUAAUAUAUAUAUAUAUAUAUAAUAUUUAUAUAAUAUUUAAAUAUAUAAUAAUUAUUUUUGUAUAUAAAUAUAUAAUACAGAUUAUUAUUUUUAAAUUUUUUAGCCCAACUUAAAAACAAAGCCGCCUCUCUCUCUCUCUCUCUCUCUCNAUAAAGGUAUUUUGGUCAGGCGGACGAAAAAGCGGACCGAACCUGCAAAAACGAAAAAUGUGGCCCGGUUUUGCAAAAGCCUGAAAUAAGUAGAUUUUUUAUGCAAAUUGGCCAUUAUUAUUCUACGCCCGAUCGAAGACCCCCCGGCAGCAGCGUUCUUCAGUCUUCCACCGUUCGCACUCUUCGCCGGCAGCAUAUCCCCAUGUAACUCCGGCAGUGGUGCUUUCAACAGGUUCGUUUUCGUCUUCCAUUGAUCUUCUUCAUCUUUUUUUUUUUAAUUUUUCUUAUGAUUUUUUGUGCAGAAUCCCAUGAAUUUUCUUUCUUGAACUUCUAAUUAGAGUUUGAUGUGAUUUUUGUAAUGCCCCGAUACGGAUCCGUAGAUAUUUGUUGAUAAGGUAAGAAGGAGAGGUGGAGUAGGAGUAGACAUAGGUGGGAGAGAGAGAGAGAGAGAGAGAGAGAGAGAGUUGGGGAUAGAGAUUAGAAGCGGUGAUUAGAGAUAGAGGGGAAUUGGGAGAAGAAGGAUUUAGAGGAGAAGAGAUUUGGGAAAGAAAGAAGAUGCUAAUUCAUUUCAUUCAUUGAUCAUCUGUUUGCAUGAUAAUAUGGUAUUUAUACAACUUAGUAAAUUGAACGGGAAUGAAAAACAUCUGGUCUACGAGGGCUAAACUGUAAUUUGUCAAAAUGGGGAAUGAGGCGUGACAGGUUGAAUUCUGAUACCUUGUGGGCCUCGAGUGGGCCUUCCCGGUCCAGGAUGCUGGUUAUCGAGCAGGCGGGCGUCGGUUCCGCCCUUCUCCGCACUAUCUGCAACCCGGCGGGUACUGGGCUCGCCAUUUUCCCCCGAUCCGGUAAUCUGACCGCCCGAUCCGCCUACUACUUCUCCUUCGCCCCCAAUCGCCUUCGCAUUCCUCCUAUCUUCCCUCUGUACUGCGACGAUGCCCUAAUCCUCGUCGCCCGCCGGAAUUUCGCCUGAACCAGAACCCGGAGAAGAGCCGCAUCGCAGGCAUCACGAAGCACCUGGAGAAGAACCAGAACCCUAGCUGGCACCAGGUGUUCGCCUUCUCCAAGGACCGCCCGCAUCCAGGCGAACUUCGUGGGCCGCAUCGUCUUCGACCUCACCGCAGUGGUACAAGCUCCAGGACAAGAAGGCCGACAAGCUCUCCUCCGGCGGCGGCGAGUGUCGAUCGGCACCCAAGCCGACGAGGCCUUCCCCGACGCCCUCGACGUCCUUGCCGUCGGUUCACCCCGCCGAGCUCGCUCCCUCCUCACCAACCUGCUGCUGCCACUUAUUUCAUCCCUACCUCGUAAAGUUUCUAUCUUUAGUACUUUACUACUUUAUUCUUCAGGUUGUUACAAUUAAUUAAUUAUUAUUAUUAUUAUUAUUAUUAUUAUUAUUUGUUUUAUACAGAGAUUUAGGUAGAUCGCGUUGGAUCCGUGUGAAAUCCGUAACUUGCGAGCCGGGCUUUUCGAGCUCGAGUCGAACACGAGCCGACUUUGAGCACUAACGAGCCGAUCUCGAGCUUGUUCGGCUCGUUGACAGCGCUACGUGAGUCGCGUCUCGGGCGGCACCGACUUAUUUUCCUGCCCUAAUUUUUAUUUUUAUUUUUUAUUUUUUAUUUUUAUAUUUAUAUAUAUAUAUGAAUUUUUUUUGGUGCGAUAGAGUUGAACGGGUUGACCCUCUAUCCAUCCCUUCUAGGGUUUUCCCUUUCCCUUUCCCUUGCUCCUUCCCCUUCUCCUCUCCUCCAUCAAUGGCGCAUCGCUUGCUCAGGGACGCGCAAGCCGAUGGGUGGGAGCGCUCCGAUUUCCCCAUCAUCUGCGAGUCGUGCCUCGGCGACAACCCCUACGUUCGCAUGGUGAGGGAUCCCCGCUCUUCAUCUUUGAUUCCUUUUUCCGUUUAACUGUAGGAAUUUCCAAAACGCUAAUCUUGGUUUUGGUUUUGCACCGUCGAUUUUGUAGAUUUGGUUUGAAACAGCUAGUUUUACGUAUGAUUGUGUGAUUAGGGGAUGCAGUGGAGGAACACUAGCCGUGGGAAGCCUAAUCUUGAUGUAGUUUACUGUGUGUAGAUCUGAAUGUUGUGUAUUGUGUUAACUACAUCGCUGGUUGUUGUAAUUACAUACUGGUUUUUAGAUUUUGGAUUGGAAACCAGAUAUUGCUAAAAACCAAUUAGAAAUUUCCUUACUUUGUGUUUGCAAAGCCAAAUCGAUAAUAGUGAGUUAAUUAGUGGAUGAGGCGAGCCAUGCACGGUGUAGUGUUAAUGUGUUAUCAGAAAAUGGAGCUAUAUUUUUCUUUUUUAAUUUAUUCGGCCCUUGAAGGUUUAUGUUUUUUCUUUUUUUUUUUCAGCUUAAGAGUUUUUUCUUAGAAGACUAAGAUUAUUCUGAUAAAAAACACUAUUUUGUGCUACUGUGACAUUACUAGGCAAUUUUUCUCAUGUCGAAUCAAUCAUCAAACAUGAAGUUCCCAAAAAGAUGGCCUCACCGUCAGAAAAGAAAAAAGUCAAGAUAUUUAAUUGAGACUCGAGUCUGUGCACUGAUUAAGUUGGCUAUGUAAUGAUGUGGAUCUUCUUUUGCAUAGGAUGUAGAAGAACACUCACACACUUUUGACCAAUUAUGCAUUGUACGGUAUCCCUUAAGAGCCCAUUCAAAUUUUUAGAUCUAGGAGCCUUUAAUCGAAUUAUCUGUGGCUUGCAAACCAAAUAUGGGGGGAAAAGAGUUAUUUGGACAAGAAAAAGCGGAUAUUUUGAUGCUCAUAAAAUAUUAUAUCUUAGGGCACUAUUAUUUGUUUUACCACAGCAACUUGGGCAUGUUUUUUGAAGAACUAGACUGCAAUGAGCCAAUGAACUUCACUGGCAGACCCUGUUAUAUUAUUCAAGAUCAAACUUAUUUACAUAGUGUAUAUCACAGAAACUGUGCUUAUAAUGUCUUACGAGUUCUUUUGGUGUUCAAUUCAAUAGUCAAAAUAAUUUCAUCCCAUAGGAUCCAAAGGAGGGUCAACAUAAAGUUCUUCAGUAAUAAAGCUCUCUUUAAGAAUGUUCGGACAUGCCACGUCUGGCAUAUCUCAAUGCCAUUCAACUUGUGGAUUUUUUUUGUCUCUUCCAUGGGUACUAUUCAGGUCAUAACUUUUCUAUUUUGUAGUUCAUAGGUUGUUAUAGGUUGUUUUCUUGUCAGUCAAGGAUUAAUGACCUCUUCAUAUUUUCUGUGCCUUGAUCACUCAGCUAAGAGCAGAUUAUGACAAGGAAUGCAAAAUCUGCUCCCGACCAUUUACAGUCUUUCGCUGGAGACCUGGGCGUGAUGCAAGGUACAAAAAGACGGAGAUCUGCCAGACAUGCUGUAAGCUGAAGAAUGUGUGCCAGGUCUGCCUCUUGGAUCUCGAAUACGGGUUACCGGUUCAGGUCCGUGAUACUGCUCUUGCUAUCAAUUCCAAUGAUGCUAUCCCGAGGAGUGAUGUGAAUCGUGAAUACUUUGCAGAAGAACAUGAUCGCAAGGUACGAGAUCUGCUCUACUUUUAUUCUCUUAUCUUGUAUCACCUUAAUAUGGAAUGUGCUUUGCUGGAUCUCAGUUUUAUCUUUAGCUAAAAGGAUAUAACUAAUUUGUUUUAAGUAGUUGAUUUAUGAUAUCAUAUGAAUUUUAUCUUACUUGCAAAGAGGUAAAAUAUAUAUAUUUUUUCCCUGUUUCUGCAUGUAUAGCUAGAAUCUUUCUUUUAGUAUAAUGCCUAAUGUUUGCAUAUUAUCUAAUUGAUUAGGUAUGUUUCUGUUAUGAUGCCAUAUCUUAUCCUUCUUUUUUGGAGCUUAAGUACAUAUUUAUUUAUUUCGGAUCUUUUUUUUUUUUCAAUUUAGUUUAGAUUGAUUUAUUUUGCAGGAGUUUAGUCAAGAUUUCACAAACAGUUUAUUAAUGUGUUGCCUUUCUAAUUGUACCUUACUUUCUAUUUCUUCAUCCUCUUCUGAAAAUCGGGAGUGUUCUUCGAGAUUUCUAUUCUGGCAAAAAAGUUUGAGUUCAUUGAGUUUUCUUAAUUGCUAAAGUAAUGUUUUCAUCAAGGUUAAAUGUAUUUGAUAGUUUUAAAAGAGGCUUCGUUCUAUAGACAUGGAAUUUUGUAUGUUAUUACUUGUAUCUGAAGGCAGGCAUGUAAAUAUAUAAUGUUUUAAGCAUCAAUUUAUUAGUGUGCAGUCUUUAAGGUGUUGUGUAGUUAUUGUUGACAAAUCUUUUGUUGCCAAUUAUCUUUGCGCAGGCGAGAGCUGGCAUAGAUUAUGAGUCUUCAUAUGGCAAGGUACGGGCAAAUGAUACUAUCUUAAAACUUCAGAGGACAACACCAUAUUAUAAGAGGAACAGAGCACAUGUUUGUAGUUUCUAUGUCCGCGGCGAGUGUACGCGUGGUGCUGAAUGUCCAUAUCGGCACGAGAUGCCUGAAACUGGGGAAUUAUCUCAGCAGAACAUAAAAGAUCGUUACUAUGGGUAUGUAUCAGAAAUCAGUAUCUCCCUGUGUGACUAUUUUUUCCUUUAUCUACAAAGAGGAUUGUUUGUUUGCUUAUUGUGUUGCUACUUGUCAUUAGAAUCAUUAUCGACUGAAUAUCCAUUUCGACUUGUUGGAAUGAUGCUUGUUAUGAAGUUCCCUUCUAUUUCCAACAUAUGUUGUGUUUUUUGAUCAGCUAGAAAUUAUUGCAGAAUUGUGUCUUGUUUGUUAUAUGUGUGUUGCUUUAUUUUAAUUUGCCAAUUAAUCGGACCUGCUAGAAACAUCACCAAGCUAUUAAGAAUAGUUCGCGUAUUGCUUUGAAGUUUCAUUUAAUCUAAUUCAUAUAUUUUGUAUUCCUAUAAAUAUGCAUAACCCCUUUGGGUUGAUUAGGUUGGUUAGUAAGUGUUGGUCCUGUUGGCAAGGCAGUGCCAACAUGUUGAGAAAGAGCUUGGUUGAGAUCAACUGGGUAAUAAAAGGAUCUUGCCAGUGAAUAGUAAAUUUUGAAUGUUGGGUUAGGGUUUAUUUGGUUGCUCAUAAAAGUAUGGAAAAACUAUUUUCGAGAAAAGAGUCUUCCAUGGAAAACCCUUUUCCAGUUUUCCGACUGUUUGGUUUCAAGGAAAACUUGCUCUUUUGAAAGAGUUUCUUUCUAAAGUUCAUGGAAAACUAGCCUUUUUCCUUUUACUAAAAGAAAAUCUAGAAAACAAAAGGAGUAAUUUUUUAUAAAAUUUGGCAAAAAGCUUUCCACAAAGCUAAUUUUUCCUUGGAAGCAAACAGACUGAAAACUGAAAAAUAGCUUUUCCAUAGAAAGCAUUUUUCCUGGAAAAUUCUUUUCCACAUUUUUUCGAGGAGCCAAACACCCCUUUAAAGGGUUGGACUUUUUAGUGGUUUAGGAAUUAUAUCACUACAAUGCUUUCCUCAGCAGUUGAAAUUUCAUUUGUAACCAAGAGGGUCUUGUUGAAUUUUUGAUUGGCAAGAUCUAUUAGACCAGAUCUCGGUAAGUAAUAUUAUCUUUGUGAGAGAACUUGGGUCUAAGGAAGUAACAUUAUCUCCUUGGGAGAACUUGUAUUCAAUUGUAGUCAAUUUUUAAACUAUCAUGCGGUGAGGUAAAGUAAGGUUUAUACUUUCUAUUUUCUCCAGCACUUACCAUUUUCUUUGUUUUUCAGGAUUGAAAAGAUUUGUCUUCUUCAAGUAUCAAAAACUUAUCUUCUUCCCUUUCUUUCUAUUUUUGUGCAGAGUGAACGAUCCCGUUGCCCUGAAGCUGCUGAGCAAGGCUGGGGAGAUGCCAUCUUUGACCCCGCCAGACGACGAGAGCAUCCGCACACUGUACGUCGGCGGCCUUGAUGCACGGAUCACGGAGCAAGACCUCAGGGACCAGUUCUACGCCCACGGCGAGAUCGAGUCCAUCCGCAUGGUCCUCCAGCGCGCCUGCGCCUUUGUCACCUACACAACCCGAGAAGGCGCUGAAAGGGCCGCCGAAGAGCUGGCCAACAAGCUGGUCAUCAAGGGUGUCCGCCUCAAGCUCAUGUGGGGGCGGCCGCAGGCGCAGGCCCCUUCAAAGCCCGAGGACGGGAGUGAAGAUGGGGCCGCAGGGCAACAGCAAGGCGGGCUUAUUGCCCACGGCGGGAUGCUUCCUAGGGCUGUUAUCUCCCAGCAGCAGAGUGGCGAGCAGCUCCGCCCGCCCGGCACAGAGCAGCAGCUUCCUCCCGGGCAUUACUUUAACAUUCCGGCCCCACCCCCCAUGGAGCGGGCCUUGUACCCAUCGAUGGACCCGCAGAGGAUGGGCGCGCUGGUGCCCUCCCAUGAGGGCGAUGGUAACAAAGCAGGGCCGGAGAGAGGGUCCGCGGGCAGUUCUGGGCAUGCUUACCCGCCACCGCCAGCACCGCAGGCUCCACAUUUCCAAGGCCAGUAUCCUCCGUACUAUACCAACCCUUACGGGUACACGCCGUACCCGCAACAUUAUCGACCUCCGUAUCAGCCAAUGAUGGCCCCGCCGCCACCGCCGCAACCUUCCCAGCAGCAGCCUGCAGCACAACAGCACAAUCCGGGAGCAGCCAGGUUGCCAUCCCAGAACUAAAAUCCUUCUAAAUGUACUUCUUUUUUUUUUCCUUUUCUUUUCUCCUCCUGUUCUAUCAUAGAUUCCUCCAUGCCUUUUGUUUGUAAUAACUGUAUGAUUGGAUAUGAAUCUGUUGCCAUUGGAGGCUAACUAGUAUUUUGCUGUGUAUUUUAAAUUAGCAGUACUGGAUCCUAUUUUACAAAACAGGCAUGUCUUAACUCUUAGCAUCUGUGUGAUUCUAUAUCUUGUUGGGGGUAGUAUCUGUUUCAUUCAAUUAUUUCCUUUUAUCAUUAUCAACUGUGAGCUGCUCUUUACUGUUCAAAAUCAUGAGUUCUGUAAUUGUUUUUUGUUUUUUGGUUUUUUCUUUUGGUUGCUCCUCCUUUCCAUACUUGUAAGAAAUUAGAGUACAUUUUGUUCAAAAUAGUUUUUGAAUGGAAAAAUAUAUCGGAAUCGAAAAGGGAAUGAUAAGAACCUUUCAAUUCCUUUGGCUCGUAAGAGAAAUUUUGACUAUAAUUUACAUUUACUUCUUAAAUUUGUAAUCAAAAUUUGAAUUGAAAAUUUUAAUUUAAAUUCAAAUUCAAGUUCAUAAUCAAAAUUUAAAUUUAAAACUGAACUCAAUAAUUUAGACUCGAACUUAAGAAAUUAAAAAUUAAAAUUUGAAUCCAUAAUUCAAAUUCAAAUAAAAAAAAUAUAAUCUAAAUUUAAAUAUGAUAUAUUUGAAUUUAAAUAAUUGUUAGUGAAAAAAAAGAAUGUUGCCUCAGUAGCCUCCAAAAUUAAAGUUAAUUCCCACCUUCAUAAGAAAAACCAUUUUGGGGAUUCAAUUUCCUUCAAAAUGAAAAUCGAAGUAUUAAUACUUUAAACUAAACACCGAUAAUAAAAAUAAGUUAUUCUGAUUUCUAUUCCAAAUCUCAAAUUUCUCCAACUAAACAUGCGCUUACAUUAAUACCAUAGAAAAGAAGAGUGAGAAAUGCGUGCUUUUAUUUUAAUCCUUUUUGUUUUAGUGCCUAUUUAUUUUUCAAACGAUUUCUGUAAAGGAAACUAACGAGAGACAAAUCUAUAAUAGAUUUAUUUAAAGGAUAAUAAAGAACAUGUAUCAGUUUUUUGGGAUACAAUGAUCGUAUUUGGUAAGAACUUGUUUAGUAAUCUUUAAUAUUUUAUAGUUUACAUUUCUGAAGAUGUUCGUCGGUAUUCGCUCAUUUUCCCGCGCUAAAUAGAAUUUGAACGGGUAAUUUAUGCCGCCAGUUCAUGAGGUAUCAAUUGCGCGACUAAAGAACGAAUCAAAUUUUCUGUUUUAAAAUAAAACUCGAACCGAAAAUCUAUGUUCAGAUUAUAAAAUACCAAUCAACUAAACUUACUCAAUAGUAGUAACUAUAUCCAAAUGAUUGUUUGCCAAUUUUUUUUUUUUUUUUUCUUUCGUGUAAAAUAUCUAAUUGGCAUUGAACGUGUUUUCCUUAACACAACAUUAAAGUUUGAUUUGAUUUGAGUACGAGGUUGUACCAUCAAAGUUUCAAAGCCUAACACUCCCUUCUUUUCCCUUCUAAUAAAGCUAAUACAAAAUGUCCUCUCUUUUUUUUUAGAUCUCCAAACAAAAUCUAAUAAAUGUUCUCUCUUUUAUUCUUUCUUAAUUAUAUAGUUUUUUGUUUUGUUUUGUUUUGUUUUUUUUUUGUUUUGUUUUUUUUUUUCCAAUGCUUUGCUGUAUAUCUUUUCUCAAUAUGCUUCCCCGCAACUAUCUAGAUAUUAGCUUUAUUUUAUUCUCAUCUUAUUGUGCUAAGAUUUUCUUUUCCUCCUAUCCCAUUGGAUUUUAUUAGGUGCAUUCACAUCCUGAUGAUGUGUAGCAGAUGUGAAGGCGGCAAAUGCUUCACACAACAGUUUGAGAUCGACAUCAGAUCGAACGUUAAAUCUUGAUGGUUGCUUUUAUCUAGAGAGAGAGAGAGCCGGGUCGGUGUGCUUUUAAGAACACGGAUGAUUUGUAUUCGUAGGUCGUUUUUGAUGAUGAGACUUUUGAAUCGACUAUCGACUCUGUUACAUUUGAUCUAACUUGUUUGAAAUGUCUUGAAAAUUAAUUUACGAUUUUUAGAUAUUAUUUACUUACUGAUCAAAAGAGCUCAAAAUUAACAAAUUUUAAUAAUUGAUAUAUUUCGUUUGCAAGUUUAAUAUUAUAAAAAUAUCUAAAUCGAAUAAAAUUUUGGUAGAUUUUUUUUUUUUUUUUUACUAUCUACAGCAAUAUCAAUACUUCUGAUCUAAAUUUUUUGUGCUAUAACUGACCGUUCUUGGCGCAAGUGGCAAAGAGCUUGGUGGUUGGUCUUCGUGGUACCAAGUUCGAAUUCUAGUUGAUUCACAUUUCCCGCUAAAUUUAUUUCUAAAAUAAAUAAAUGAAACAGGUAGCAUGUUACAUUUCUCUCAAAUUUUUUUUUUGUGCUAUAUUAUCACUUAUUGCGAGAUUAUUAUUUUAAAGAUAAAAUAAUGUCAAAAAAAUAAUAAAAUUUAUUUUUUAAAUACUUCAAAUACUUUAGAUUAAGUCUAACUGAGUCAAUUAUUGAUUUGAAAGUUUUAUCACCAAAAACAUCGAUAUCUUAAUAAGAGCACAGAGGCCUCCGUACUUCUAAGAGCACACUAUGCAAUCUGUAUGUACACCCUAUCAAUAGUAUAUAAAUAGUAUUUUCUACAUAUUUUUAAUUAAUUUUUGGAUCAAAUACUAUUCCACCGUCCUACUAAAUUAACAUAACGGAUCCAAGAGCUAAAAACUGGAUAUCAAAUACUAUUCCGCUAAGCUAUAGAUGGUGCAUAAUUUUUCCACGAAAUCCGACAAGGAUUUUUUCAAGAAAACUACUCUUCUUGAAAACUAAAGAAAAGGGAAAAUAAAAAAAAAAAUAGUCAGAAAUUUAGUUUGUGAUAAAUGUAAUAAUUAUUAUUAUAAUGCAUGGAAGUAACAUAUAUACCCUAGCAUUCUAAAUAUGCAGUUAAUAAUGUGUAUAGCAUUGAUUAGGAAGGUACGUACUACGUAGUGCUUACAACAGCCUAUUACGUGUCUAAUUAAUUAGGAAAAAGAAAUUAACAAACCGGAUGAGGAAAACAGCGGGCGGAGAAACCAGAGCCGCAGAAAAGCGCUGUUGGAAUUAAUAAGCUAUUCCCACACUAAUCACAAGUGCUUACUUCUGAGUUGACCAAUAAUAAUAAUCAGAAUAAGAUAAGAAUAAAUUGGGAUAAAACACAUUAUCCACGUAUUAUGCAUCUCUUAUCCAUUAUAAAUUCGGAUAUAUAUAUAUAUAGGCUGGGGUUAUUAUACUCUUAUGAGUAUAGACCCCCUUGUACUCAUAAAUUUUUAACCGUUGAUUGAUGGGAUGUGUGGUUAAGAUGAUGAUGGUCCCCACUUAAAAUGAUAGUGGUCCCCUAGAAUUGCGUGGGUAGUUGGUUGAAUAGUAUGAUCUAACGGGUGGAAAUGAUCAAUGAAAUAAAUUUAAGGGUUGAAAACUUAUGAGUAUAAAAGAGCCAAUACUCAUAAAAGUAUAGUAGCCAGACUCUCUCUCUCUCUCUCUCUAUAUAUAUAUAUAUGAGUCAAGUUGCUAUACUAUCAGUAGCACGGAGGACGGAGGCUAUCGUGCUACCAAAUUGUUUUCAAUUAUGUGUCUUCUAAAUCAACAAUCAGCUGCGUUAGGCUUAAUUUACAGAAUUGAAAGUAUUUAAAAACUAAAUUUAUAAUUUUUUGAUAUUAUUUACCUAUAAAACGAAUAGUCUAAAAAUGAAUAGUUGAAAAUAAAAAUCUCAUAAAAAAUGAUAAAAAACUUAAAUUUAAGAUUAGAGGUACUGAUCUAACUUUAAAUAGUAAAAAAAAAUUCUAUAAAAAUUUCAUCAGAUUUGAAUUAUUUUACGCAACUAAAUUUACAGAUACAUCACAUUGACUAUUAAAAUUGUUAAUUUUGAGACCGUUUAAUCACUAACCAAAUAAUAUUGAAAAAUUAUGAAAUCUAACUUUCAAAUACUUUAAAUACUGUCGAUCAAGUUUAAGAAGCCGAUCGUCGAUUUGAAAGCCGCAUCAUUGAAAACAACUUGGUAGUACGAAAACAUCUGUGCUACCGAUAGUAUAGCUGUCUAGCUCUAUAUAUAUUCUGAUUUCUGAAUACGAUGGUUUUCGCUUUAUUUGCUUGCUUAAGACAUCAUGCAAAAUGCAAAAAAGCAAAAUGCAAAAUGCAAAAUUAGUUGGAGGGGUCCGAAGCAAGAAAAUGGAGAAGCAGCGACGUCGCUGUAGCUUAACAUAAUUGCUUCCUCUGCUUUUUAAGACCUUUACCUUUCGCUUAUUAGACUUUUUCUUAUUCUUUUUUAUAUCUGGGGUUGGAACUUGGAAAGGAGAUUCUUGUUUAGCAAAAUAACGGACGGUGGAGAUUGAUUCUUCUUUUUUUUGACCCACCAAGCAACAACCUUCUAGAAGCAACUGGAAAGUAGAGGGGCUCUGUUUGGAUGCGCGAAUAUUUUAUUCAGUUCUAUAUUUUUUUAAGAUAAAAAUAUAUAUUAUUUUAUGAAAAACUUCAAAUAUCAUUCGUGUGAUUUUACACUUUCUCACUUUAGUACCUGUGGUUUAAACUGUAUCAUUUUCGUAUUCUGUGGUCUUAUUUUUCUCUUUUUGUUAUCCCCUCCACUAAUUUUUUUUUUUGUUAAAUCAGUGACAAAGUUAAAACUAAGAGAUAGUAAAGUGAAUAUUUAAUAAACUAUAGCUGAGAUAUUUUAAGUUUUUUAUAUAUGAUUUAAUAAAAAGUUAACGAAGAGGUUGACGAAAAGAGAAAAAUGAAACCACGGGGUACUAAAUUGAUACACACCAUCCUCACUCUAGAUAACUAGGUUAGAAUACUAUUAAUAGCACUAAGUCAUUGGUGCUAUUAAGUUUUCGGCCUUCGGAUGAAACAAAGUAAGGUUUGGUUGAUAGUGGUCCUGUAGUUGGUUGAAUGAUAUGAUCUAAAUAGAUGAAAAUGAUUAAAAGAAUAAAUCUAACAUUAGAAAAUUUGGUAGCACUAAGUACUUGAGGCUAUGGGUGGCAUUAUAGCUGUAUACACACACAUACUCUCUCUCUCUCUCUCUUUCUCUCUCUCUCUCUCUCUCUCUCUAUAUAUAUAUAUAUAUAUAUAUAUAUAUAAAAUUAGGCUAGAAUACUAUUAAUAGCACCAAAUUAUUAGUAUUAUUAAGUUUUCGGUCCUUCGAUGAAGCGAUCUAUGAUUAGGAUGAUAGCGCUUUCUUAGGGUUGAGUGGAAGUGCUUCCUUAGGGUUGACUGGAUGGUUAGCUGAAUAGAAUGAUCUAACGAGUGAAAAUUGUCAAAGAGAUUGAUCUAACGGCAGAAAACUUGGUAACAUCAAGUGUUUGAUGCUAUCGAUAGUAUUGUAGCCGGACUCUCUCUCUAUAUAGAAUUAGGCUAUUAUAUUAUUAAUAAUAGCACCAAGUCAUUGGUGCUAUUAGGUUUUCGGCCUUUAAUGAAGGGAUGUGUAGUUAGGAUGGUAGUGGUCCUCUGGAGUUGAGUGGGUGGUUGGUUGAAUUGUAUAUAAUCUAACGGGUGGAAAUUGUUAACGAGGUACUAAUCUAACGGUAGAAAACUUGAUAGCACUAAGUGCUUGGUAUUAUUAAUAGAAUAGUAGCCGGGUUUUAAAUUUGGGAUCUCGAAUACCAACUAUUAUAUGAGAUAUGCAUCGGUGAUCAAACCUGAACGAAUUUGCAAAUCCAAAAUCAAAACUAAAGCCGCGAGAAAACUCGAAAUCAUUAUCUGAAAUAAAAAAUCUUAGAUUAUUGGUAUUAAUUUGACCUAAAAGCUAAUUAACGGACUUUGAUCGUUGAACUAAAAGUAUGAGAUGAAAUAAAUAGAAGAGGGUGCCGUGUGCAGCACCCUCAAAUGGUGAACACGAGAACAGCAUGGGAGACUCCAUGUUACUGUACGAAACCCUAGAUAUGGUCAUAUGGGUACAAGUUAAUUCUUUCCAUCAUAAUAAUUGUAUAUAUAUGACAUACAAAAUAAGAUAAAAACUAAUAAAAUUCAUGUGAACUAUACACUAUUUUAAAAUAGUUAUCAAACCUUUCAAAAUUUUAAUGUAAUUAUCUAACUUUUUAAUUUAUUUGAUUUGGUUCAGUGAAUGAUACUUUGACUUUAAAAUUUAAGCAAAUUAUUUAUUUUAAUAAAUUUAGAAUUUAAUUUUAAAGUCAAAGUAUUGUUGACCGGCUUAAAUCGAAAAAAAAAUGAAAGGUUUAGUAUGAGAAACAAUAACUUAUAACUUAUGUUCUAUUUUAUUCAGAGCUAAACUUCUACUUGAUCCAUUGUUUAUUAGAUAUCUAACAUAUUUAUAUAAUUUUUUUUCUAAAAAUUAUGUUUUGUGAGGCUUUUUUCUUUCCUCCAAUAUCAUUUUCCAUUAGAGAUUAAACCAUUCACAUAUUUUCUCCUGAUAUUGUUCCAAUUUUUAUUUGUAUGAACAUAAAAUAAGGUUCCAUCUUUUUUGUUGCAAACUUAAUUAUGUUAGAUUUAGGUUUGAGUUCCAUAUUUGGUCUUCAAAUGUUGAGGCGUAGGACAUUUUAUUUUUUCAACUUUAAUUUGUUAUAAUUUCUAUCUAUUUUUUUUUUGAAAAAAAUAUAGUAAUCAAAACACACAGUUCAAUUAAGUUGACUGAAUGAUAAUCUACAUCAGAUAACAUUGUAGCUAAUAGCGUUGAUCAUGAUUCGUGACUAAUUAAGAUGCAUACACCAUUGCUCCUAUGUUAUCAAAAUAUUAAUAUUUGAUCAACUAAAUUAAACUAAAUAAUUACAAAAACUUAAAUCUGAUAAAUAUAAUAAAUUAAAACUUGACCAACAAAAUAUUACUCAAGGCUCAUCCCAUAGUCUGAAACCAAAAGUACAUUAAAUUUGUAAUAUUUUAUCAUAUAUAGAUUAAUAUUUGGACAUUGCCCAUACUCUGUUUUUUAUUAUUUGUUUAUUUAUUUAUUUUUUGCCAUGUGUUAUUGAAUGUUUGUGUUGCGGGUAAGCCAAUGUCUUUUCGUGUAUGCCAUAUAAUAAAUACAGCAAAGUCAUAAUUGGUAUUAUUUUUCUUUUUCUCACUUUCUAAUAAAAGUAUAUUAUGUAAUAAAAUGAAUAAGGGGUACUUAUAAUAGAAGAAUAAUAUAUAAGUAAUAUAGGCCCGUCCUUCGCGGCAGAUAAAUAGUAUUUUAAACGAUAUAUAUAUNAACUUCUAAUAUUUAUAGAGAAAUUAUUUUAAAAACUUUAUUUAAAAAUUUAAUUAAACUUAAUAAUUUUGAUAGCUAAUGUAAAUAAAUUUUUUAACUAAAAAGUUAAAGUUGGAAGACUUAUUUCAAAUUGAAAAAUAGAAAAGGAUGUCUUUAUCUUGUUAAAAGUGAUCGGAGAAAGAAGAAAUUAUUACAUGUAUCUGGUACUCAUAAUAAUUUUUUAAGUAGAGAAAAAAAUGAUACAGUAGAGAAGAAAUCUUCCGUGUAUUGGGUGUAAAAAUAAAUUUUAUAAACUAUAUUUCUAAAAUCACAUUAUGAAAUUUUAAAUUAUGUAAUUUUUUACGUAUAGUCUUUUUAUUUGGGUUAGAUGAUAUGUAUUGAAUAUAAAUUAUUCAUAAAAUAUAGCAAUUUUUUUAAAAAAAUUUUAGUAUUAAAUAUUAUAAUAAUUUAUCUGUAAGAGAGAAGAAAUAGGUUAAAAAAGAUGGGCCCGAUCCUAAUCCUUCUUUGCCCAAAUGAAUGUAAAGCUACCACAUAGGAUCAAAUUGGAAAUUCAUACAUUUAUAUAGAUAUAGAUAUGUCCUUUAAAACUUCAAAUAAUAUUUUAUUUAUUCCUGAAGAACCAAAAUAUUUUUGUUGAUCUAAAAAAUUUUCUUCAAAUGUUUCCAUUUUUUUUUUAAGAUUUACUAAUUGAGUUAAAUUUAAGAAGCGUAUUUCAAUAAUUUCAAAAUAAAAUUUAAAAAUUUUGAGAAUGUUUUCACAAGAGAGACGUCCUAAGGCAGUAUUUGGUUCGAAAACAGGGGGAAUAAGCUCUUGUUCCCUCUUUGUUCCCAAAUGCUAUGUUUGGUACUCGAGAAAAGUAGUUCUCGAAUUUUUGAAAUAAACUAGUAUAAGGUUGAAACUCCUGUUCCACCAUUUUUUCUAGAAUAAGCUUGUUCUCGAGUAGGAACAAACUUAAUUAAAGUCUAAAAUUAAUUUUAAUUAUGGUAUUAAAUCAUUAAUUAAUCUAAUUAAUAUAUUUAAAUUAUUAUUUGUUACUUAAAUAAUAAAAUAAUUAAUCAAUUUAUUAUUUAUAAUUAAUUAUUAAUAAUUUAAUGUAUUUAUCCAUAAAUUAAUAUUUAUAUUGAUCAACCAUUAAUAUUUAUAUUAAUUUAAUUAUUUUUUUUACUAGUUAUCUAGCUAAAAUAAUUUACUAACUAAUUAAAAAGUUAAAUUAUUUUUUAUAAUUAAUUAAUUAAUUAUUAAAUAAUAUAUUUUUAUUAUCUUAUAUAAUAUUUAUAGCUAAUAAAUUUAUUUAUAACUCUUAUUUUCUUUGUGCCAAUCUAACCAUUUAAAUACUAUUUAUCUUAUUCGUAGAAACAGUCUAAUUUUCAUCCAAAUAUAAAUUGAUCUAAUUUUAGCUUAUAUCUAAACUUGUACCUAUUUUAAAAUUUUGAAAUAAACAAUUAUUACUUAUUCUCAAACCAAACGCAACCUAAUAAGGGAUCUUCUUGGAAUCUGGCCAAGUUGUAUUGAAAGCUAGCAAACAAUAACAACAGAGAGAAAACUUGUCCAAACAUCCAACAUUUAUAUUAAAUUUUUAUUUAUAAAAAUUGAUGAAACGACAGCAAUACCAACCGAGGCCGUAACGUAGAAAAUAAAAAAAAGGAAAACUUCAAAAAACCCCCUUGUGGUUUUAAUUUUUUUCACUUUAGUACCCUGUGGUUUAAAAUGUAUCAAGUUAGUACCUUGUGGUUUCUCACUUUAUCACUUUAGUACCCUGUGGUUUAAAGUGUAUCAAGUUAGUACCCUGUAGUUUUGUAUUUUAUCACUUUAGUACUCUGUGGUUUUGAUUUUGUAUCAAAUUAGUAUCCUGUGGUUUUUUAAACUAUAGGAUACUAAAGUAAUAAAGUGUGAAACCACAGAGUACUAAAGUGAUAAAGUACAAAACCACAGGGUACUAAUUUGAUACACUUUAAACCACAGGGUACUAAAGUGAUAAAGUGAGAAACCACAGGGUACUAACUUGAUACACUUUAAACCACAUGGUACUAAAAUAAAAAAGUUUGAAACCACAUAGGGGGUUUUUGAAGUUUUCCCAUAAAAAAACUAAGGAACUUCAUUAGUUGUUACAUCAUAAUAAUAAUAAUAAUAAUAAUAAUAAUAUCAGGGAUCAAAAUUAAAAUAAUAAAACAAGAAAAAAGCAAAAAAAAAAAGUUAUCUAAUGAGCUCACCCCCCACCCUCAACCAAUUUUCCAGGCCCAUGUCAACCUACCCACAAUUUUCCUCCCAAACAGAGAGAGACAAGUAGACACAAAGCUUUAAAUAAGGUGGAAACCAAUGGAGAUAACCACAUUAUAGAGUGGCCAAUAUUUUAAUGCCAUGGUACAAUUGGAUAAGAUCACCACUCCAACCCCCUUGUCCCUCUCCACCUCUUUUUCCCCACAUUACAUUACCCACCUUAUCUUAUCCCCACACUUGCCCAUUUUAUAACAAGCUCACCCACAAAUAUAUGACUAGAGCAUUGGAUACAUCCCAACCAUACAUAGAUAGAUCAUUUUCAAAGGUUUGGAACAAUGUCCCAAAAAAUUGUGCUUAUAUACAACAACUUAGGUGGUCAUUUUGAUGGGUUAGCUUGGUUGCACAUUGUCUAUUUAUCACUAACAAAGUAAUUUAUAUAUAUAUUUGAAAAGGACAAGUGAUGAACACAAGAACACUUGUUAUAUAUUAUAUAUAUAUAUAUAUAUAUAGAGAGAGAGAGAGAGAGAGAGAGAGAGAAGCUAAGCAUGUUGUAGAUCAGAAAGAGAGAAAGACCUAGGAGAUCUAAAGGAUCUGGUCAUCUUCCUCCUUCCAUUUUUCUCAUGAUUUUGAAGAUGCUGUUGUUGUUGGUGAUGUUGGUGCAGGAGAGGAUUAGUCAAUGUGGGUAUUUUACCAUUCUCUUCUGCUUCCUCUUCUUCCUCCUCCGCCUCCUCCUCCGCCUCCUCCUCUACGGUGUGCUCCGGAGAUAAGAGAGGGGGUAGUGACGAUAUAAUGAGUGAACUGUAGGAAGCUCUUCUGGCGCAGGCCAUGAGAAUUCGCCUUCGUUUGUUGAAGGGGUUCUCUGGCUUCGCCAGAUCUUUCGCACUCCCGGCGGUGACGGUGGCUACGUCUGAGAGGCUCGCAAACGAUUUCGAUUUUCCGGAGAAGAAAUUAGACAACCCCCUCCUGCAUACAAAAGACAAAAACAAAAAAAAGAAGAAGGAAUUAUUUACUUGAUUUUUUUUUUACUCUCAUAAAUUUCUUCAUCAAUUGAUGGGACUAUAGUAGAGAAAUAAUAAGAAUUUUACACCCAAUUUAAUUGAAAUUAAUGAGAUUUUUGCACAUAUAGAAAGGUGGCAUGUAACACCCACUUUAAUUGCAAAUCAAACAAAAAUUAUCCAUCACAUCCACAUAUCAACUAAAUCCAAAUUAAUCCAUUUCCUCACCACCCAACUUAUUUUUCUUUUUUCCCCUAAAACAAUUUAAACUAAACUAUGCAAGGAAAUUAAUUCCUUCAAACACCUCCUCACCACCAAAUUUUGAAUUCAAAAAAUAUGAAAAAAAAAAAAGGAAAAGGAAAAGGAAAAGGAAAGGAAAGGAGAUUUUACUUGAUGGGAAGUGAUUCUUCCAAGGAAUCCAAAGAUCCCAAUCCCCCCUUCUUCUUGCUUUGCACCUCCUCAUCGCCAUCUUUUUCCUCCUCCGAUAAUGAUGAUGACAAUGAAGAAGGCGAGGAUUCGACUCCGAUCGUCGACGUCGAGCUCUCCGACGGAUCUUCCUCCCUCUUCUUCUCCUCCUCCUCCUCCUCUUCACCACCACCACCACCAUCAUCAUCGUCUUCUUCUAAGAAAAACCCAUUUCUCCUCUUCUGCUCAUUCUCAUUCUCAUUCUCAUUCUCCUCCUCCGCUUUCGCGUACGCCGCCGCCGCCGCCGCCGCCGCCGCAAUCCCGGCGACGCGAUCCUUCAACCCGACGACGUCCGCUCCUCCGGAGCACGCCACCGACAUCGCCGCCGCCUCUUACAAUUCCGACACCUAAUUCGCGCCGGCGCCGCCGCUUCUUCUCUCAUGAAUCGGGGGCGAGGGAUCCCCUUGUCGAUCGCUUCUCCUAUGGAGAUUUUUCUUUUUCCUUUUUUUUUUUUUUUCUCACAGGGAUGUGUAGAGAGAGAGAGAGAGAGAGAGAGGAGAGAGGAGAGAGAGAGAGAGAGAGGGGUGUGGUGUGGUGUGGUGUGGGGUAUAAGAAGAGGGAGGGGGAGAAGGGAAACGCGCUUUGACACGUUCGCUGAGAGGGGGUGGCAAACGUGUCCCGGUUUGCGACUGCGACGGAAACCGUAGACCGGGCAUUAAAACCUUAAUUAAAAAAAAAUAAAAAGUUUNGCAUGCGUAUUUUAUUCAGUAUAAUAACCCAAUAAUAAAAGUCCCACUGCCAUAUUACCAAUAGCAUAAAAGACUUUGUACUAUCGAGUCUUCUAUCGUCAAAUUUAAUUUUUUAAUUAUUUUAUCCAUUAGAGUGCACUAUCCAACCAAUCACCCACUCCAUCCUAAAGUGCCCACAUCAUCCUAAUCGUACAUUUCUCAAUCCAACAACUAAAAAACUAAUAGCACUAAUUGCUUGGUGCUAUUGAUAGUAUUUCAACCUAGUUCUAAUAAUAAUAUUGUCUGUAUAUUCUUCAAAUACCACUCCUGCGGUUUCACAUUUUCUCACUUUAGUAUUCAGUGGUUUAAUUAAAGUGUAUCAAUUUAGUACCCCGCAGUUUCAUUUUUUUCUUUUCGUUAGCUUCUCCGUUAACAUUUCAUUAAAUUAUAUACAAAAAAAACUUCAGAUACCUCACCUAGGUUUAUCGAAUAUUUAUUUUAGUACCUUUUAGUUUUAACUUUGUUAUUGAUUUAACGAAAACAAAAUUAGUGGAGGAGAUAAUAAAAAGAGAAAAAUGAAACCACGGGUACUAAAUUGAUACACUUUAAAUCACAAAGUACUAAAAUAAAAAAGUGCGAAACCACAGGGAUGGUAUUUGAAGUUUUCCUACUUAUUAUAGACUAUAUAUAUAUAUAUUAUAUAUUAUAUAUAUAUAUAGAGUCCGGCUAGGGUGUUUUUAAGCACUUGAUGUUUGUAGGUUUUCCACCAUUAGAUCUAUUCAUUUAACUAUUUUCAUACAUUAGAUUAUAGUAUUCAACCAACUAUCCACUCAACCCUAGGGGACCGUUAUCAUUCUACCCGCACAUUCCUUAAUCUAAAGACUGAAAACCUACCAGCACCAAUUACUUCGUAUUUUUAAAAACAUAGGAGCUCAAUUCAUAUUAUAUGAUCCAAAAUUUUUUAAGAUGAAUUAUAUGUUUGGUCCUCAAACUAUAAAGGUAACUAAUAUUUUGAUUCUCAAAUUUUAAUUUAUUAUAAUGUUUGCAAUUAGAUUUCACAAUUCAAUUUAGUUGGUUAAUUGGCACAUUAUCAAUUACAAUAUUACUAUGUCACUUUUACGUUACUAAUAUAUUAAUAUUUAGUAAGCUGAACUGAGCUUUAGGACUUGAUUGUAGUACUUUUAAAAAUUCGAAGAUCAAAAUGCCAUGCAUAUUAUAGUUUGGGGACCAAAUGUGCAAUUUAUUCAAAUUCUUAUUUUCUACUAGUCUUAUCAACAACUUUACUAACAAUUCAAAUAUUUUGUUGUUAAUUUAUUCUAAAAGUAUUUAAUAUUUGGUAGAUAAAGAAUGCCAUCAUAGUUUAUUAUGAAUAUUGUAUUCGACCUUUAAAUUACUUUUUAUAAAUAAAAAAAUAAUUAUUUACUAGAUAAAAUAUAAUAUCUUAUUAAAUUACUGAGUCCAAAACUUCUACUAAAGUUUAGAAAUCACACUCUUAAAUUUUUUUAUAUAAAAUAAUAUAUUAUUAGAUAUUUUAUUUUGACAUGAAAUAGACCCUAGGACUUUUUUUUUUUUGGUAGCAAAGAAUAAAAUUUGGAAGUAGCGAUGUUACUACAAAACUUAUAUUAUAUUUGAAACUACGUGACCCACGCAAUAUGAUAUUUUCUAUGAAAACAAAUAAAAUAGGGCUUUAAUUGGGAGGUGGUAUUUAUUCGAUAAGUUUCAUGACAUUUAAGUUCGAUAAAAAAAAGUUAUAAAUUUUUUGGUUACCAAGUCAUUGGAAACCAAAUAAUAUUUUUUUAGAUUAUUUGGUGGUUAUAUAAUAGAUUGUUAAAAGACAUAAUGAUUUUUAUCUACAGCCCUUUAGAUAUUACAAAUCACAUCCAUCAAAUUUAUUUUAUUUUUUAUUUUAUAAUAUUAACUAUUGACUAUUAGCUAGGUUUGGUCUACAGAGUCUGUGUACACAGGGUGUGGGCAAUAAUUUUGUGGGAUAAAAGAAAUAGGAAUAAUUAUUCCCCUCUCCAUCUUAUCCAGUUUUAUCCCUCUAUAUCCCUAACCUUAUCCUGUCCUUUUUUUUUUUUUUAAUAUUUUCUCUUUUUUAUUAUUAUUUCCGUUCUUAUGUGUUUCUUGAACAAGAUGAUAAUGAUGAUGAUGAUGAUAAUAAUAAUAAUAAUAAUAAUAAUAAGAGUUGAGUUGGAAUUAAUAUUAUCAUUAGCAAAUAAAUUUCGUUGUUAUUUAUUUAUUUUUGAUGAUGGAGUCUUCAAGUCAACGAUUGGUAUUAUUGAACAUGAUCUAUACUACUUGAAGUAUAUAGAAAUCAAAUUUCAAAUUUUUUCGACAUCAUUGACCUAAUGAUCAAAAGGUUUCAAAAUUUGUUAUUUUAAUUAAUGAUCGAUAUGAGUCGUUUUUUCGUUUAACAGUGUAAAGAUAUACAAAUCAAUUGAAUUUUGGUUAAAAAUUUUUUUAAAAUAUUUAGAACAAGAUCUAUACUCUCGAUCUUAGUUACAAGAUUCCUAUCAUCACUUUUAAGAGGAUAUUCAUUUUCAGCCAUUCAUUUUUGUGUCCACAUGAUGGACAUGAGAACAAUAUCGAAAAAGCACGAAAUUUGAUUUCUAGAUGCUUCAAGUAGUAUAAAUCAUAUUCAAUGAUGUCAAUCGUCGAUUUGGAGGCUCCAUCAUCGAAAAUAAAUUGAUGGCAACAGAGUCAAUUUGCUACUAAUAGCAUUCUAGCUCAACUCAUAAUAAUAAUAAUAAUAAUAAUAAUAAUAAUAAUAUGUGUGUAUAGGAAGAGGGUGUGAUUAGCUGUAUUUAUGGAUCUGGAUGGUGAUUGGUCAGUCCCGCAUGGCUUUUCUUGGAAAGUUCUUUUGGUGGACCUCAUCUAUUUGGGUUGGUAAUACCAUGUUUGUUUCACCGAAAGUAAAGCACUAAUAAAAGGCUUCGUUUAGUAUAGGGUUUACAUAACCGACCGUCCAUAGAGCAAGUGGCAAAAGGUUUGGUAGUUGGUACCCGAGACCCAAGUUCGAAUCCAAGUUGAUUCACAUUUUCAGCUAAGUUUAUUUCUAAAUGAAAUAAACGAAGCGCGUAGCGUGCUAUCUAUUUCUUAAAAAAAAAAAAAAAGUAUAGGGCUUACAUAAAAACUGCUCAUUUUAGUGAUAGGUACAAGUUUCGAUAUAAGUAGAACUAAAGUAAAUUUUUAUUUAGAUAAAAAUUAAAUUAUUUCUGAGAAUAAGAUAAAUAGUAUUUGAAUGAUUAGAUUGAAAUGAUAAAAUUUUUUUAAAUUAAUGAUGUUUUAUCUAAUUAAUAAAUAUCAAAAUUAAGGAGGGGAAUAAGAACUUAUUCCCCUCCUUAUACUCGAACCAAAUGCUACUUAAGUAAAUUUUUAGAUGAGUAAGAGUUUAAGUAAACAAUAUUUUUCUUUUGCUGUAUUUUGUAUAGCUGUGAAACUAAUUUUUUAUAGUUCUGUUGUUUAUUUGAUACAAAGUUGGUUUAAUAUUUAUUUUUUUUUUGUUGACUUCUUCAUUGGGUGGCCGAAAUCAAUUACAGUACUUUGGAUUAUUUGAAUUUCGAUUAAAAGUGGAGCUUAGAAGCACUUUCAAAUUUAUUUAUUUUUUAGUAUAUUAAAACAACUAGCUAGCUAGACUUAAAUAACCCUAAACAGUUUUAUUCUACAGCAAAACCAGAAACACUAAGUUGGAUUCUAUAGUUAAUGCUUAGAAUUUAAUUUUUUACUUUGCGUUUUUGCCAAAAGCUCUGCAUUUAUUUAUUUUUAUUUUUUCAUCGUCAAACACCAUUCUAAAAUUACUAUUGCUAAAAGCUAAAGCAAAAUGUGGGGUCAAACAGUCUCUUAUCCCUGAAUGACAUGUGCUGCAUAUAAAAAUAUUAAAAAUAUUAUUUUCUAACGGUUUAAACUUUUAAAGGCAAUUGAUUAUUUUACAUAACAUCAGAGUAUAUGAGGUCUUGAGUUCAACUUUCACUAAGUUUAGAGUUUUAUAAAAUUUUUAUAAAAUUUCCUCCCAUAAAACCCCAAUGUGAGAGUAAUGAAUGUAAAAAAUUAAAAAUAUCAUUCUCUCGCAAAUUCACAGCAAAAGAUUGAAAAUGAGAGAUUACAAUGAUUGGAUAAAAAUUAUGAGACUGAAUGAAGAGAGAUAGCAGGUUGUGAGACUGUACGAAGGGAGAUGGAUGGAGAUUAUGAAAUUGAAUGAAGGAUGAUUAGUGAUUGUGAGACUGGAUGAAGGGAGAUGGAUGGGGAUUAUGAAAUUGGAUGACAAAAGAUCAUUGAUUAUGAGAUUGGACGAAGGGAGAUGGAUGAAGAUUAUGAAAUUGGAUGAAGAAAAAUCGGUGAUUAUGAGACUGGAUGAAGAGAGAUGGAUGGAGAUUAUGAAAUUGGAUGAAGAUUAGUAAUUAUGAGACUGGAUGAAGGAAAAUGGAUGGGUAUCAUGAAAUUGAAUGAAGGAAGAUCGGCGAUUAUGAGAAUGGAUGAAGGGAGAUAGAUGGAGAUUACGAAAUUGGAUAAAGGAAGAUCGGUUACGAGAAUGGAUGAAGGGAGAUGGAUGGAGAUUAUGAAAUUGGAUGAAGGCAGAUCAGUGAUUAUGAGACUGAAUAAAAAAAAAUAGAUGGAAAUUAUAAGACUAGAUAAAGAGCGAUAGGCGGGUUAUAAGAUUAUAUCAAGAACACUCAAAGUUUCACACAACUAGAUUGGAUAGUGCAUUGGCCAAUUGAUGUGGUGCACUAGGUGUAACCAUGUGGAAAUGAUUAGAUAAUAAAGAAGCUUAUAGAAAUAUGCUUGUUUUUUUUUUUUUUUUUUUGUAAAAUUGCAGAAAAUUAUAUAACUAAUUUACUGUAAUAUGCACUGUUAGUUUAAAUGGGCCAGCAUCCUACCCUGUGGUAGGGGGCCCUGUUGAGCCGAGUCAUGUUCGAAAUGACGUGAGUCUGGAUGGGCGAAGUCAUGUUUAAAGUGGCGUGAGGCUGGUUGGACGAGACCUGUGAGCGCUGUAUCUGUACGCUUUAAGUAAAUUAGUUGCGUAUUUUUAACAGCUCGAGCUUUUGGGAUUAAUGGUUAGCGCCAACGAUCCGACAAGUGGUAUCAGAGCCAGUGGUCACGGGUUCGAUUCCCGCAUGCUGCAAAUGUAUCCAGGUGCUAGAGGGAGGAUUGUUGGCUUAAAUGGGCCAGCAUCCUGCCAUGUUGGGCGGAGUCAUAUUCAAAAUAGCGUGAGCCUGGGUGGGUCGAGUUAUGUUCGAAGUGGCGUGAGGCUGGUUGGGCCAAGUCAUAAUCGAGACCCGUGUGCGCUGUAUCUGUAUACUUUAAGUAAGUUGGUUGCGUAUUUCUAAGUCAUACUUUAAUUCUUACCGCAUACAAUCCAACUCCUCGUAAUUCCAAACGAAGCCAAAGUUUAGACGACGAUUAUGAGACUGGAUGAAGGGAGAUGGGAUAGUUCCGUGCAGAAUAGCUAUCCCGUGCAGAAUAGCUACACAGAAUUUUUUAGAGUUUUCUGUAACGACCCAGCCCACUAGCAACAAUAACUCGUUGGGCCCAAUCAACAGCCCAAAAUGCCCAAUGACAACCCCUUUUCCAUCCGAUGUGGGACUAUUGGGGUGUCACAGACUCCCCCUGUUAAGGCCCUGACUGACAACCCCUUUUCCAUCCGAUGUGGGACUAUUGGGGUGUCACAGACUCCCCCUGUUAAGGCCCUGACGUCCUUGUCAGUCCAAUCACACACACAACCCAAGAUCACCAGGCGAUGUGAGACUCGUCUCGCUAGCCCGUCAUCCAGACCCUGACUCAGCCGAGACUCGCCACACAUGUCCAGCUGGUGAACCGGCUCUGAUACCAAAUGUAACGACCCAGCCCACUAGCAACAAUAACUCGUUAGGCCCAGUCAACAGCCCAAAAUGCUUAAGCCCAAUUAUUAUUACUAGUGUCUAAGUCUCUUAUAAACCCAAUGACAACCCCUUUUCCAUCCGAUGUGGGACUAUUGGGGUGUCACAUUUUCUGAUUCUUUAAAAAUCACAUAACAAUUUAAAACCCUAGCUCUUUAAUUUUUUUUUUU